Oncorhynchus nerka (sockeye salmon) is the source of this 3388-nucleotide long non-coding RNA. RefSeq lists it as uncharacterized. The transcript has 6 exons. The record is from RefSeq and is a predicted model, not a curated record. NCBI's taxonomy places the organism in Eukaryota, Metazoa, Chordata, Actinopteri, Salmoniformes, Salmonidae.
GAUGAACCCUCUGCUCUACAACAUCACCCAGGUGGUCAUCCUGUCUGCUGUGUCCGGGGUCAUCAGUGACUUACUGGGCUUCAACCUGAAGCUCUGGAAGAUCAAAUCAUGACAGUAAGCUGAUCAGGUCACAGCUGGCUCUGGAAGAUGUGAUACAUUCUCUCACCACACAGGGGCGCUGUUGUCCUUUCGCUCACGGACUGACUGGGCUUCCCUGUAUCUAUGGUCUGACGGACAAACAGCCCCAUUCUCAGAGUUCAUAACGGAGUGCUUACAUUUCACUUGUGCAAUUCAAGAUAUAUUUAUUUUACCCUUUCAGUAUUUUUAAUUUUUUUUGUUGUUGAAGAAGUUACAAAAUGUUAUUUUAAGCUAUACAGGUUUUGUGUUCUCAGAGGGAUGGAAUCAAAACACAGCAAGAUGACAAUUCAGUUAAAAAGGUAAAAGAGUUCCAUCCCUUCAGACUAGUAAGGACAAUGUGCAUUAUAAUGCAGCUGUUUAGUUUGUUGACUGUGACACACAAACGCAGUCAUUUCACUGUGAGACCUGCAACGAGUAGUUGUUUCCGAUCAUAGACGGACUGUAAUAAUAAUAAUAAUAAUGUGUUUUAAAGCCUACAUACACAAACAGGUUGUACUUUCUGGUCAAUUCCAUGUAGGCUUUUUUGUUGUUGCUUUUGACGACAACAACAGUACACCAAAGUUCAGAAUAGAUGAACAAUGUUUCUGUGUGUUUGGCGUUUCUAAUGAUAAGCUAAGUGACGGCUGUAGUGGAGAGACAGAGGCAGGAUAAAACAACACUCAAAUGAUUGGUGAGAAAAUAGGUGAGGUACUGUACUGGCUAGAUGGGAGGUACUGUACUGGCUGGAUGGGAGGUACUGUACUGUACUGGCUGGAUGGGAGGUACUGUACUGUACUGGCUGGAUGGGAGGUACUGUACUGUACUGGCUGGAUGGGAGGUACUGUACUGUACUGGCUAGAUGGGAGGUACUGUACUGUACUGGCUGGAUGGGAGGUACUGUACUGUACUGGCUAGAUGGGAGGUACUGUACUGUACUGGCUAGAUGGGAGGUACUGUAUUGUACUGGCUAGAUGGGAGGUACUGUAUUGUACUGGCUAGAUGGGAGGUACUGUACUGGCUGGAUGGGAGGUACUGUACUGUACUGGCUAGAUGGGAGGUACUGUACUGUACUGGCUAGAUGGGCUGUACUGUACUGGCUGGAUGGGAGGUACUGUACUGUACUGGCUAGAUGGGAGGUACUGUACUGGCUGGAUGGGAGGUACUGUACUGUACUGGCUGGAUGGGAGGUACUAUACUGUACUGGCUAGAUGGGAGGUACUGUAUUGUACUGGCUAGAUGGGAGGUACUGUAUUGUACUGGCUAGAUGGGAGGUACUGUACUGGCUGGAUGGGAGGUACUGUACUAUACUGGCUAGAUGGGAGGUACUGUACUGUAUUGGCUAGAUGGGAGGUACAGUACUGGCUGGAUGGGAGGUACAGUACUGGCUGGAUGGGAGGUACUGUACUGGCUAGACGGGAGGUACUGUACUGGCUAGACGGGAGGUACUGUACUGGAUUGGCUAGAAGAGGUACUGUACUGACUAGAUGGUAGGUACUGUACUGACUAGAUGGUAGGUACUGUACUGGCUGGAUGGGAGGUACUAUACUGGCUAGAUGGGAUGUACUGUACUGUAUUGGCUAGACGGGAGGCAUUGUACUGGCUGGAUGGGUGGACUGUACUGUAUUGGCUAGAUGGGAUGUACUGUACUGGCUGGAUGGGAGGUACUAUACUGGCUAGAUGGUAGGUACUGUACUGUCUUGAUGGGAGGUACUGUACUGGCUAGAUGGGAGGUACUGUACUGGCUGGAUGGGAGGUACUGUACUGGCUAGAUGGGAGGUACUGUACUGGCUAGAAGAAAGGUACUGUACUGGCUAGAUGGUAGGUACUGUACUGGGUGGAUGGGAGGUACAGGCUAGAUGGGAGGUACUGUAUUGGUUAGAAGGGAUGUACUGUACUGGGUGGAUGGGAGGUACAGUACUGUACUGGGUGGAUGGGAAUAUGUAAACCUAGCCAACAUAUCUGGGUUAGUAUUCUGUAUGUCAAAUUGAGACCUCCAGGCCCGCUAGCUAAACGGUGUGUGACUGAACAUGGUUAACUAUGUUACUCGUAUAAUGAUCAUUUGGGGGGAGGUGUGUUUGUCCUGGUACACACUUGUACAAGUCUGUAAUGGAAAUGUGUUUCUUACAUACUGAGACCCUGAGGGAGUGGGGUCGCGACCUUUUAUGGUGAUACCAUUCAGUAUUGGCUUCUGUACUCCCAACCCUAUUUUGUAAACCAGACACAGUGAGGUGUGCAGUCUGGUUGAAAUACUGCUAUUCAGGCCUGUGAGCCGUCAUCACCACCUCGUCAACAUGUUGAUUUCUCUCAACCCUCCUUCCCUGGUUUACUGUUUUACGUUGCAUGGUUUUCUCACAGAGCAUUUGAGUUAUUUCAGCGGUUCGACUGUAUUUCAAGCAAUAACUCGUAGCUCAACACACAGCGUGUUUGUGUUAUAGUUGGAACAAAGAGGUCCCAGGUCUUAGUCGCUGUUCGCACAGUCGAUGUUCGUCGCUACCGUUUGGAAUGCCUGAAAAUGUGCACUUUAAAGUAGUGUAUAGAAACGAUGUUACAUGUUUCAAUGUCACACAAACCAUUGUAGUUGUUACUGCUUGGUACUUUUUGGCGCGGCUCAGUCUGGGUGAAGAUGACCAAAGUGCUUUUUAUUUGCUGGAUAAAACUGUAUUAUUAAAACACAAAAUAACUGUUUCGGUUUCAUAUUAUUGGAAAUGCUUUAAGAAAACAUGGCGUUGCCUCAUCUUUUCCUUCGUUGUUGUUGUGAAGAUUGUCCCUCGUGUUUUGUGGUUGAGAGAAAAGACACCAUUUGCAGUCACUUGAGUCUGAAAAAUGUAUUUAGAAAAUGACUCUGAACCUGUCUGAAAUGCCAUCCUGAUCCCUAGUGCACCAGAGCCCUGGUCAAAAGUAGUGCACUACGUAGGGAAUAGGGUGACAUUUCCGACGAACCUGUCUGGAAUGCCAUCCUGAUCCCUAGUGCACCAGAGCCCUGGUCAAAAGUAGUGCACUACGUAGGGAAUAGGGUGACAUUUCCGACGAACCUGUCUGAAAUGCCAUCCUGAUCCCUAGUGCACCAGAGCCCUGGUCAAAAGUAGUGCACUACGUAGGGAAUAGGGUGACAUUUCCGACACACACUUGUUUUUGCGUUGUGAUUCCGUUUUCAAAGGAAGUCUGGAUAUUUAUGUUGAAGAGAAGAAAAACAACGUUUUGUGAGCUGGUCUGUUUCCUCAGUUCUAGGUGUUUAUAAGGAAAAUAAAAAUGGACAUUGUUGUGUCACUCA